GAUGAACGCUGGCGGCGUGCCUAAUACAUGCAAGUCGAGCGAACGGGCGAGAAGCUUGCUUUUCUGAUGUUAGCGGCGGAAGGGAGAGUAACACGUGGAUAACUUACCUAUAAGACUGGGAUAACUUCGGGAAACCGGAGCUAAUACCUGAUAAUAUUUUUAACCGCAUGGUUCAAAAGUGAAAGACGGUCUUGCUGGCACUUAUAGAUGGAUCCGCGCUGCAUUAGAUAGUUGGUAAGGUAAGGGCUUACCAAGGCAACGAUGCAUAGCCGACCCGGGCGAGUGGUCGCCCACACGAGAACGGAGACAGGGUCAAGGCUCCUACGGGAGGCAGCAGUAGGGAAUGUGACGCAGUGGGCGAGAGCCUUGCGCAGCAGCCGCAAGUGAGUUGCAACGGUCUUCCGAUCGUAAAGCCCUGUUAUUAGGGAAGAACAUAUGUGAGAGUAACUGUACACAUAUUGACGGUACCUACACAGAAAGCAACGGCUAACUACGUG
RNAcentral lists this ribosomal RNA (497 nucleotides) under uncultured bacterium. Its description in RNAcentral is "partial 16S ribosomal RNA". It matches the Rfam family "Bacterial small subunit ribosomal RNA", at positions 28 to 507 of the family's 1533-position model. The record is from RNAcentral.